Molecule: ribosomal RNA, 253 nt
Filed under: uncultured bacterium
Lineage: Bacteria
Description: partial 16S ribosomal RNA
Rfam family: Bacterial small subunit ribosomal RNA
Source: RNAcentral
UACGAAGGGGGCUAGCGUUGCUCGGAAUCACUGGGCGUAAAGGGCGCGUAGGCGGACAGUUUAGUCAGAGGUGAAAGCCCAGGGCUCAACCUUGGAACUGCCUUUGAUACUGACUGUCUUGAGUUCGGUAGAGGAGAGUGGAAUUCCCGGUGUAGUGGUGAUAUGCGUAGAUAUCGGGAGGAACACCAGUGGCGAAGGCGGCUCUCUGGGCCUUUCCUGACGCUGAGACGCGAAAGCGUGGGGAGCGAACCGG